Molecule: long non-coding RNA, 350 nt
Filed under: Ananas comosus (pineapple)
Lineage: Eukaryota; Viridiplantae; Streptophyta; Magnoliopsida; Poales; Bromeliaceae
Description: long non-coding RNA (ACOM_LNC044513)
Source: RNAcentral
AGAAUCCAACCAAUGAAUCAGAAUCACUAACCCAUAAUCCCAACCUGUAAAACCCACGAGAAUCAGUUUUCUAAAACUGAUUACCAUAACUCGCCAGACGUCCCGAAAAUCGCACCGGGACUCCGUCGGGACCCGCGAACUGUCCGGAAACUCACCAACUCGUGCCACGAGUCACCCGCUGCCACUAAACACAAUAAUUUGUGUGACCAGGCAGCAAACACAUCACCUCACAUCGAAACGAUCGUCGUCGGAUAAUCGUUCCGAUCCGUUCCCGAAAGUGUCAAUUUCGACACCGGAACCUACCGUCGCUCACCCGUCGUUUUCGAACCCUCAAAACGAUGCGAGUGACC